UACGUAGGGUGCAAGCGUUAAUCGGAAUUACUGGGCGUAAAGCGUGCGCAGGCGGUUAUGUAAGACAGGUGUGAAAUCCCCGGGCUCAACCUGGGAACUGCAUCUGUGACUGCAUAGCUAGAGUACGGUAGAGGGGGAUGGAAUUCCGCGUGUAGCAGUGAAAUGCGUAGAUAUCGGAAGGAACAUCAGUGGCGAAAGCGACUUCCUGGACCAGUACCGACGUUCAGGCACGAAAGCGUGGGGAGCAAACAGG
This 253-nucleotide ribosomal RNA is filed under the name uncultured bacterium. RNAcentral describes it as "partial 16S ribosomal RNA". It matches the Rfam family "Bacterial small subunit ribosomal RNA", at positions 524 to 776 of the family's 1533-position model. The record is from RNAcentral.